Molecule: long non-coding RNA, 4117 nt
Filed under: Homo sapiens (human)
Lineage: Eukaryota; Metazoa; Chordata; Mammalia; Primates; Hominidae
Description: HSALNT0086402
Source: RNAcentral
UUAAGAAGAAACCUGUGCCCCGAUCUUGCCUACUCACCCAAAGGCACUGUGAGAAACACAGGAAAACCACAUUCCCAACACUUCUUUGAAGUCAGUUUGCAGGCCAUGCAACCAAGUUCUGGACAAUGGAAUAUAAAGAAAGUGAAGCAAGUCACUUCCAGUUGGGCCUUUAGAAAAUUCUGUGUGCUACCUCCGUUCCCUUUCCCCCUUCAAAGCUUCCUUGGAAGCACUGAGUUAGAUGGUAAAGUUACAAGAAGGAAGAAGUCACAGAAUCAUCGUUUAAUGGAGAAAACUGUGGAAAGCUGUGAAGUGAUCAACAAAUAAAACAUUAAUGAGCAAAGACACAGGGAUUUAGCAGUUUAUUGCCACAGGAUAGUUUAGAAUAUUCUGAUCAGGAAAUAACUUUAUACAGGAGUGAGGUGCUACACCAUGAAAAAUCUAACUUACAUUGCAAAACAUUAUUUUCAUGUCUCAUAUAGGAAGGCAGCAAUUAUAAAAGGGACUGCAAGUCAAGACAUGUAAGAGACUGACAAAUAUAAAGACAACCUACUGUAAAUUGGGAGGCAGAUGACAUACUUACAAAACAGAGAAUUAAGAAAAAUGAUAGUAUGUAUUUGUAGCCAUUGGUGAAUUUUUAAAUAUAUGAGAAGAAAUAUUAGAGAGACUCCAGAAAUUCAAGGCCUUCCAAGAGUAAGAGAGAAUAUGUCUGACAUAAGAUUUUAUACAAAAUAGGCCAGUAAAAGAAUCUUGGUCUAGUAAAGUGACCCCCAAUGAAAGAUCAAGUUAAUGAUGGCCCUUCUAUCUUUUUUUUUUUCCAGAUAGCAUCAAAGGAACAGCUAGUAAGAGACACAGAGCCAGAAAUCAGGGAAGUAAAAUACACUUGACAUCUACAUUCGGAAAGAAAUUUUAGGAGGCAGAAGCAAAUGGAUCAGAAGCUGCUUAUAUUUUUGCAAGAUUACCAAAGAAACCAUUGGUGGAGAAAGUUCUGUGACCAACUUGUCUGAGUCUAGCUCCGGAAAGCUGCCUAAAGUAGAUGGAGUCUUCUCUGUGUGUGCCCCACUGGUCCUGCAGUUGAAGGAUCCGGUAAAGCAGCCUGCCCUGGGUUUUACACUCCAGAGGAACGUGAUUCGCUGGACUAAAGCAUUGAAGUGCAUCCUGUUUCCGGGGGGCACUGGAACAGAGCCUGGUCUGUUCUAGCCAGUCCCUUUCUAUCUCAGGAUGUUGCAUUCCCAGUACAUUCUACAGUUAUUCUUGAGAACUAUAAUCAAAUAAGCAGGGAGAACUGGGAAAGCAGAGGCUCAUCGUGGAACCCUCAAGGAGCAUGUGGUCGUCUUCAUCCCUCAGUUUAUAAAUGGCCAAGGAGAGUAAUGCAACAAAAACUUCUCAGACUUAAGAGCCAGAGUUCCUAAAGAACCGUGGACAAAGGGUUCUGUCUAGUGGGCAGAAUUCAUCCAGCGAAGCAGGAAAUUUGGAACCUAGGUUUUCCCAACCUACAUCUACAAAAUGGAAUGGGUCUGAUUCACAAGUUUUCAGAGAAAGAAGCCAACCUUAAUCAGACUGUGAUAUGAUGAGGAAAUAAAAAUUGCUGUGCUAAUCAACUGAUACUGGGAAGCAUGUUUAUUAUAAUAACAUAGUCUAUGCUUAACUUUUCGAAGAAACUAAUGAUCUGGAAUAUCGAUAAAAAGAAAAAAGAAAGAAAGCAAAAGGACAGAAAGUUUUAGUGAGAAUAUGUCACUAAAAGAAAAAUACAAAAAUCUCCAGGUAAUUGUUCUUGUCUGUCACUAUAAUCAAAGUGGUAUUUCACCCCCCAUCUGUUGUCCCUGCUUUGAUGAGUGAGAAUAGAAGAGCAGUUCCUGGUUACAUGUUGGCAACAGGAGGGUAUAAAUAUCAAAUUGCCUUAAGCACUGGCAAAGGCUUAAGAGUCCAUCCUAAAUUGAGGGAUUAUCCAGUACCCUGUUUAGAAUGGAAAUAAAUCCUUGCACAGUACUUUCAACUCAAUAACUGAAAAAAUGCAGAGAGCAAAUUCAACAAUUUGUAUUACCAACAGCCAGCUGAGUCCAACUUUCUAAAUCCAUUGGAAAACAGAAAAGCAGAAAAGCAGAAAAACAGGCAUCAGUAACUGUCCUAAAAAGUGAAGGACUCAGGAGGCUGAGGCAGCAGAAUCACUUGAACCCAGGAGGCAGAGGUUGCAGUGAGCCGAGAUGGUGCCACUGCACUCCAGCCUCGGCGACAGAGCGAGACCGUCUCAAAAAUAAAAAAAAAAAAAAAAUGUGAAGGACUGAGGGAAAGAAACAGAAUAGACCAUAAUGAGUCAGAUGCGAGAUAAGAGAAACAGGGCCCGGAACAUAUGCCCUCAGAUAGAAUAAGAACAAUAUCAAAGAUGAAAAUCCAAGAAAACACCUUGAGGAAAAUAAGAUGAUAGUAAUACUAAAUAUAUAUGUUAAAGGACUAAUUUUAAUGAGAUACCUUCACAUAGGUAGGAAGAAAAAUAAAUUCAAUGUGCAGAUAUUCCUUAUGUAUAUACCAAUGAAAGUAAAGAGACAGAUAAAAUAAGUCAGGCAAAUGCUAACAUAAGAAAAUAGAGUCACAUUAUUUAUUUUGUAAUUUGAUAUCUGAAUAUUAAAAACUUACACCUUCAAAGUGCAGAUAUAACUCCCAUGAAUGUUGACACACUAAGUAACAGUAAAAUACAUUAAGCCAAUUAGAACUGUAAGAAAAAGGAAAGCAACACAGAAUAAAAACAAGACUCAGUAGGUGAUCUUUAUCUAGAAUCAGAACAAUUAAAAUAAAAUAAUGACUGGAGAAAAACUGAAGUAAGUACUAUGUUUAAUGCCUGUAAGCAAAUAUACGUAUUUUGAAUUGUGACAUGAUUAAAAAAGAACAUAUGAUUUUCAAGUGUUCAUAUAACACAUUGAAAAAUUAAGCAUAAACUCCCCGAAAUUCUUAUACCUAAAUGUCAUAAAAUAAGUACCAAUCAUACCAACUACUUUUCUGAACAUAAUGCAGUGAGAUCUAUAAAACAACUGAUAUUUUGUGGCUGUUGUUUACCGCAUCAAAAGAAGACUAAUAAAGCAAUGUAUUUACCCUGUGAAUGUAUAUGUUCAAAUAAUUUAUAUAGACUGUACACAUAAUAUUCUUUUAAUUUUCUUUAUAUUUCUUCUUAUAUAUCCAUUUUCUAAAAUAGUGAGUUAUGCUUUUAUUCACUAGAUUUUUUUCUGUUUAAAUUUGUUUAGGUAUUAUAUUUGAUAUUUUAUUAAUUUCUGUAUUGAUGUUUAUCAUUUACUUCUUCCAGUUUUCAAAUAUUUUAUGAUUAAAAUUAUAGAUCAUUGUUUUAAGACCAUCUUAUGUAAAUAGCAAAGGUUUGAUUUGUAAUGAUUUUAUAAAUAUACAUAUUUUAAUAUAAUCAAAUUGUUAAUAUGCUGGUCUACACAUUUGCCUUUAGUUUCCAUUUUUACCCAAGAUACGCUAGACAAAUAUUUUCAUGUUAUUCUAAAGAUUAGAAUUUUUAUUUUGCUGUCAAUAGCUCUUUAAUAUCUUUCAUAUGUUCUAUCUACCUAUAUCUCUGUGUGAUCUUUGUUAAACCCAUAUUCUGAGGUUUAGAUUUCCCAACCACCCAAUACUGGUGGAAAUUCUGAUAGUUUUUGAAACCAUGUCUCAAGACUUGUCCCAUGGAAAAUAAAGGAAAUCUCUAUUCUGUCAUUGGCUGGGAACUGCUCUAGGGUGUUUACAUCCCUGGCAAUUUUUAUUUUUCUCAUGUUGAGCCUGAAAGAAAGUCACCGAUCAUGAAAUGCGAGCAUGGACAGGGACAAUUAGUCCAAAGGGAAAAAUUAGAGACACUGACUGUUCCAUUAUACGUAACUAUAUACCUAGUCACUCAAUAUAAUGAAGAGUUUCAUAAUUAGUCAAAAUGAAAUUGAACCAUAUUAAUUCUACAUGGAACAAUUCAAAAUGAAUUUAGUCUGGGUAUAGAUGGUAAAGAGAAAAAGUGAAUUUAAUUAGAACACAAUUUCAAUCAAAUUAAGUCUUUGCAUGAGUUAUCAAGGACACAAUAAAUAACUGAACAAUUCCAAAGAGUUACUUUCAUAGUAAUUUCAAAUAAUGCUCUAAUUAUCUCGAA